UUCUCUAGGUGCUGUGGACAUUGUGUGCCCCUCUGAUUAGGGAAGCAAUAUAAUAACAGACCAAUUUUGUAAAAAUCUCUAUUAGGAGUUACAUAGCUGUUCCUACUGCUUGUUUUUCUGUGGCCAUUGCAGUGCAAUCGAAAUACUUGCAAAUACUUCUAGUGCAAGCACCCUUAUGUGGAUCGACUCCAAAUCCUUCAGUUGCCCAAUAAAGAGUUCAGAUACAAAUUUUGAAGACUGCAGGAUCUAGAUUUUUUUACAGCUACUGCGAGGCAGCAAACUGACUAUGGGAACCUUCCUGAAAGUCAACCUUUCUGAACUGUGAGAGCUGCUUUUACUGCUUAAGUAUUUCCCAACCUUGUUACUUCAUGAUAUUUGUGACAGCUGUUAUUAAUGCACGCAAGAGACCCCAGCACUGGCAGAAGGGAGAGUGUCUUCACGCUGUUUUGCAACACUGCGCGUUUGAAGUUCCUCAGCUGCGCUGGGAGGAAGUGGUUAUUCAGUUCUGCUGCCAUUUCGCGAAGGAUGAAGCUCCAGUAAACUUUCCCUGCGAGAGUCACCUGGAAACCACAGCGAUAAAACCAAGUAUUUGCCCACUGCCUGCGAAAGGAGAUGCCACCAGCAGGAAACAGGAGCUUAGAACAAGAUCUUUCAGAUUGCCAGAGACCUCCCAUCGUUCCCAGCGCACCACCUUGUGCAACCUUCAGCUGCUCUGUGUGCUUGCUGCCUACUUGGAAGCUCUCUUCCAAGAAGACCUGCUCUACCAGAGUGUAAAGCUUUGCAGGUGCCCUGGGGGAACGUGGUGGUGUGAUGUCUGGACUCAGAGUGCCCUUUGAUGACCACCGCCCUGCACGAUACAAGAGGUACUCGAGGGAGCAAGAAGGUAAAUCAUGUCCUGCUUGGGGCCUGGCUCUUUUUCAUAGUCGUUUUGUAGUUCCUGCUCCAGGAACCGCUUUUGUGAAUGAGGGUGAUCAGCAUAGACUAGAAUAGGGCAAGAGUGGACUGGCAGUGUUCAGUAAAGUGGACAGGAAAGACAGAAUUUUUUGUGCAUCCUUCACCCUCUAACAAAGGCUAAAAUCCCUUCUUGUUUCAGCAAAGCAAAAGAACGUGCACAUAGCUUGGGCACAAGUGUCUCUUGUCUGCUACACCCAAAUUUCAAAAUCCCCGUGAACCAUUGUAUUCCUUUAUCACUCCCCUACAAUGCCACACUACCUUCAUUUUUAUCCCUUAGCUUCCUUUCAGGGAGUUGCUUUUCAUGUCUAAUUUUAGGCCUGAUCCUGCAGUUGCUGGUACUGUGUGUUUCAACUUCCUAUUUAAAAGCUGAUUUCAGGACACUAACCUGUAACGAACUGUCUUCUGAACUGUAAUUUGUUUGCUCUUCCAGGAGACUAUAACCACAUCACGCAGAAUCAUUAUGUGUUCUGGAUCCUCACACCUCUUCCCCUCUGAACCUACUCACCUUGCUAGGAACAUCCCUAACAAAUCAAUACUGCUAAUUGGUAGAUUGUUGUUUUAAGAGCAGGUCCUUCAUUAGAGUAGAUCAGCAUGGAAUUUAUCAGUAAUGUAUUCCAUAACUGUAGUAAAUAAAAAGACUUCUACGUCUUCCCACUUCUGCCAUUGAUAGAUGUGUUUUAACAACCCUUAAGCCUCCCUAUAGGAAUGCUACCUCUGGGCAGCUGUAUUGGUGUGAUGGCCCUCUUUCGCGUGAUGCAGCAACAAGGCGCCGAUGGAUGGAUCUGAUGGCCUCAUAGUGGGGAAGUGUGUUCCUGGAGAGCUAUUACUGGGAUGGAAAUGCAGGAUCCAGGUGAGCCUGCACUGAGGUACCUGACCAUGGGAAAAGAUGCCCUGCUUGAAAACACACACUUUACUGUGCCCACCACACUUGUGUCUGUAACAGGCACUACUGCUUCAAUAUACCGUUUAACUGAAUGGAAAGUAUGAUGUGUUUUAGGGGUAAUGCCAUGGCGUGAAUAAGGAGGAGGACUGGAAGACAGAGGCUCUAUAUGGAGUUGUGCCCCCUUAUUCACCUCUCUGUGCUGCUCUUCUCUUCUAGCUCUUUGACUGUCCUGUCAAACAUCUGGGGACUAGAGAUGGGCUUUUGCAAAGUGCUUGGACAACUGAUGUCAGUCAGGCUGGGAACUCCUCUAGAUCUUGUCUUCUAGGCGCUCUGUAUGAAGUGUCUUCACGGACUUGCUUGGUGACUCUGGCAGUGCCAAGUAGGGUCAGUGCUUUAGGAGCAGUUCCUUAAAUGCACCCACUAGGUAAACCCCAGCUUUUCUCAUGGGUGACAGAUGUUCCUAGUGGUAAGGAUCAACCACUGCUCAAGCUUAGGGCCCAAACUAGGGCUGCUCUCGGCGGAGGGAGCAGAGGCCCCUUGUCCCACAGCCAGAACCAAAGAAGGGUUCCUCUCCCUCGGGGCAGCUCGUUCCCACCUGCCAGCAAUUAUGGAAGGUGGCAUUUGGGAAAGUUCAUUCUUCCAUGUGGUGAGCUGAGAAGAGGCCCUGCAGAAGAUGGAGCAGGUGCACUGUGCUGAGGCCAGAAGAGAGCUCAGAGUCACUAAAGUAGAUCUGUAUCACUGAGGGCAAGCCCAGAUGGUGGGGACAGAGGAGUAGGAUGCUAUUUUUGCCUGCAUUCAUGUGUGGUGUGUGUGAGUCACCUCAUACCCUGCCAAGUAGCCCUUUCUCAUGAUAGGUGUUCUUCCUUGAACAUCCUUGUACCUUUGCAUGUCCCUUUGGGUUCAUGAACCUCCUUGAGAUGUGGUGGUGAUGGUCAGAAGUAGGGCUGGUUCCUGUGUGGAUGCCUGAGCUCCCUUCUUUACUGCUUUGCCCCUCCUGUGCACUGGGGUCCCUUAGUCCAAGGAGGUCUGAUGCCCACUCCCCUCUGUAAGACCUAGAGAGAUGGACACCCUGCCCUGUGCUGCUCUCUGUGACCUUUAUCCUGCCUUGCAUCUCGCAGAAAAAGCCUGAGGGCUUUGUCAGCAGACCUGGUUGUACUGUCAGGUUGCUUCCAGCGCUGGUGUUUGUUUAUGUGUGCCCUGUGCUCUCUACUACAUGUGUGCCCUCAUUUUCCUCCUGCUUCAGAGGUGCAGGUGCCUGGCGCAGGUGCUGAGUGUGGUGUGUGCGCCAGCUGCAGCUGGGCUCGUCCCCGACAAGGGGUGCGAGGCUGCAGCUGGAGCAAGGCCUUCUCUAGGGCCUUGUGAGCUUGGCAGCCCUGCCAGGGGCUUGGGCCCUCAUCCUCUCCCCAUGCCCGCGAUGGACAUCUCUGACACGCACCCAACUGGAGGCUCAUCCCUCACCCUACGUGCCGGGAACGUGUGCAACGAACCCUUGUGUGGGCUCGCGUCUUGGAAGAGAAGAUGGCUCUGAAACCUCUGCUGAGCAGGGAAUCGAGCUGUAAAAGCCACUGUCCAGUUUGGUCACACCAUUUUGAGCUCCACCGCUGCACAGGCAGAGGAUUGGGACGCAGCUGCAGGGAGCAGGAAUAAGGAAGCUCAGUGACACGCAGGGGAGUGCUGGUGCGGGUCGAAGAGCCGCCUGGAUGAACGUCAGAAAUACAGCUUGUACAAGCUUCCUCAUAACCCACCAUCUGGUUCAGUGCCGGGGCUGUGUGUGCUGUGGAAAUACCUCGAGUUCCCGACGACGUUCUCGGACACUGUAGGCACAAGACAUCAGGCACACGCCAGGAAGACAGUUUCUGCCCUAAGGGCGGCUUAGCAGCGAGUCUAAAAAGAGGAGGAAUAUUGGAUAUAAUAAACAGGAAGGGAAAGAACGCACCUAAUGCUUUGUAUGCAUGUCUUACACAUUAGAUUUUUAGCUGAAACUCGCUGGCUAAUAGCUACUGGAGGAUAGUACUAGGAAAUAUUACUAUAGCAUACUCUGAAUUCACAUUGAUUUUGUAGAAAAAGAGCUUGAGACUUCCUUUUUUUACGAUGAGAAGCACUGCUGUUCUGAGUAUAAUGGGGUGGCAUGUUGUUUGGAAUUUCCCUUGCUUUCUAUAUAUACACAUGCAUCGAAGCCACAGGAAAUGGAAGUUUAAAAAAAAAAAAGUACCAUAAAACAUAGGUAUCCGCUUCUUGAACAAGUUUUAUUCUUGUAGCUAGUUUUAUUAUUAGUGAGCACUUAAUCUGUAGACAUCAUUUAAGAUGUGUUCUAAAAGAUAUGAUGUCCUAAAUUGCUGGAGAGGAAAGCAGAUAUUGCCUUAAAAGCUGCAGAAGAUUUGAAAAGCAUUUUAAGCUAUAGAUUCUAUAGCUCUGUAUUGCCUUUGCCAUUACUGUUGAUCUCCUUCUCUCCCUUGGGGCUGGGGAUAGGGACUGAACGAUCUCCUGGGGUUUCUCCAAGUUGUAUUUUCUGUGAUUCAACAAGUCAGCCUUGCCUGUAGCUGCUAUCAUGGUUAUGUGCUAUGGGCCUACUUGGCCCAUGGCAACCAGCAUGUACUGGCAUUAUUAAUAAAUAGCAUUUACUUAAAAAUCCCAAUGGAAAUAUAAUUAGACCCAGGAAUAAGGAGAAUCAGUUUGCCAGCAUUUGGAAAAUAUGUGGUCUGAAAAUCUUUGUUGGUGGUGAGAUAGCCACUAGGGAUUCCCUAAGCUUGUCUUGUCUCUGAACUCGCACUAUUUUGGAGAGCACAACUUCAGGGAGAUAAUUUAAUGAAGGAGAACUGUUAGAAGAAGGGUUGGACUAAUCAUGAUGGUAAUUGGACAAAUACAUCUUGGCAUUUCUUAAUAUGCUAAGACAUAUUUCUGCAAGUUCCAAAAGAGACAGUUAUUCUGCCCGCUUCCAGCCUCCCUGGAUCUGCAGAGGUACCUCUGUCUCUCCUUUAAUAUUGGUAUGCCUCUCCAGUAAGGGGAUUGCUCACUAGUAAUAAGAGAUUUACCAAAAAAAUUAACAAAUCUGAAUGGGCAUUAACUUUGCCUCAUAACAGGACUCAGUUAUCUCAGAUGCCUUUUAUUACUGAUACAGCAAAUAAGGAGCUCAGUCCCAUAUGUUCACACAGAUUUUCUGUAUGGUUUCAAGAGUCUCUCGUGUAAGGAAUUGUUUCUGCGAUUUUACAGAUUAUGCUAUGUGUUUCAAUGAACAGAUGUAGUAGAAAUGGAUAAUGAAAGUUCAUAAAGUUUGUGCUGUUGAAGUCCCUUUCA
Dromaius novaehollandiae (emu) is the source of this 5131-nucleotide long non-coding RNA. RefSeq lists it as uncharacterized. The record is from RefSeq and is a predicted model, not a curated record. Lineage: Eukaryota; Metazoa; Chordata; Aves; Casuariiformes; Dromaiidae. The transcript has 3 exons.